GCAACCUGGUUGAUCCUGCCAGUAGUCAUAUGCUUGUCUCAAAGAUUAAGCCAUGCAUGUCUUAGUGUAAAUAACUCUUAUGAAACUGCGAAUGGCUCAUUAAAUCAGUUAUAGUUUAUUUGAUAUUACCUUUACAAUGGAUAACCGUGGUAAUUCUAGAGCUAAUACAUGCUAGACAAAUCCCGACUUCUGGA
RNAcentral lists this ribosomal RNA (194 nucleotides) under uncultured eukaryote. Its description in RNAcentral is "partial 18S ribosomal RNA". It matches the Rfam family "Eukaryotic small subunit ribosomal RNA", at positions 1 to 194 of the family's 1831-position model. The record is from RNAcentral.